GACGAACGCUGGCGGCGUGCUUAACACAUGCAAGUCGAACGGAAAGGCCCUGCUUUUGUGGGGUGCUCGAGUGGCGAACGGGUGAGUAACACGUGGUUAACCUGCCCUUGACUUUGGGAUAACUUCAGGAAACUGGGGCUAAUCCCGGAUAGGAGCUCCUGCUGCAGGGUGGGGGUUGGAAAGUUUCGGCGGUUGGGGAUGGACUCGCGGCUUAUCAGCUUGUUGGUGGGGUAGUGGCUUACCAAGGCUUUGACGGGUAGCCGGCCUGAGAGGGUGACCGGCCACAUUGGGACUGAGAUACGGCCCAGACUCCUACGGGAGGCAGCAGUGGGGAAUAUUGCACAAUGGGCGGAAGCCUGAUGCAGCAACGCCGCGUGCGGGAUGACGGCCUUCGGGUUGUAAACCGCUUUCGCCUGUGACGAAGCGUGAGUGACGGUAAUGGGGAAAGAAGCACCGGCUAACUACGU
This 467-nucleotide ribosomal RNA is filed under the name uncultured bacterium. RNAcentral describes it as "partial 16S ribosomal RNA". It matches the Rfam family "Bacterial small subunit ribosomal RNA", at positions 28 to 506 of the family's 1533-position model. The record is from RNAcentral.